UACGAAGGGUCCUAGCGUUGUUCGGAAUCACUGGGCGUAAAGCGCAUGUAGGUGGCUUAAUAAGUCAGGUGUGAAAGCCUCGGGCUCAACCCGAGAAGUGCAUUUGAUACUGUUAAGCUUGAGUAUUGGAGAGGGUAGUAGAAUUCCUGGUGUAGUGGUGAAAUACGUAGAUAUCAGGAGGAAUACCGGUGGCGAAGGCGGCUACCUGGCCAAAUACUGACACUGAGAUGCGAAAGCGUGGGGAUCAAACAGG
RNAcentral lists this ribosomal RNA (253 nucleotides) under uncultured bacterium. RNAcentral describes it as "partial 16S ribosomal RNA". It matches the Rfam family "Bacterial small subunit ribosomal RNA", at positions 524 to 776 of the family's 1533-position model. The record is from RNAcentral.